GGAGUUGUGGCUCAGUGGUAGAGUGCUUGCCUAGCAUGAAUGAGGCGCUGGGUUUGAUUCUCAGUACCA
Molecule: transfer RNA, 69 nt
Filed under: Marmota monax (woodchuck)
Lineage: Eukaryota; Metazoa; Chordata; Mammalia; Rodentia; Sciuridae
Description: tRNA.Ala
Source: RNAcentral